This 460-nucleotide ribosomal RNA is filed under the name uncultured bacterium. Its description in RNAcentral is "partial 16S ribosomal RNA". It matches the Rfam family "Bacterial small subunit ribosomal RNA", at positions 338 to 795 of the family's 1533-position model. The record is from RNAcentral.
CCUACGGGAGGCAGCAGUGAGGAAUAUUGGUCAAUGGACGAGAGUCUGACCCAGCCAAGUAGCGUGAAGGAUGACUGCCCUAUGGGUUGUAACCUUCUUUUCUAAGGGAAUAAAACGAGGCACGUGUGCCUUUUUGCAUGUACUUUAUGAAUAAGGAUCGGCUAACUCCGUGCCAGCAGCCGCGGUAAUACGGAGGAUCCGAGCGUUAUCCGGAUUUAUUGGGUUUAAAGGGAGCGUAGGUGGGUUGUUAAGUCAGUUGUGAAAGUUUGCGGCUCAACCGUAAAAUUGCAAUUGAGACUGGCAGUCUUGAGUACAGGUGAGGUAGGCGGAAUUCGUGGUGUAGCGGUGAAAUGCGUAGAUAUCACGAAGAACCCCGAUUGCGAAGGCAGCUUACUAAACUGUGACUGACAUUGAUGCUCGAAAGUGUGGGUAUCAAACAGGAUUAGAUACCCGAGUAGUC